Molecule: ribosomal RNA, 253 nt
Filed under: uncultured Lactobacillus sp.
Lineage: Bacteria; Bacillati; Bacillota; Bacilli; Lactobacillales; Lactobacillaceae
Description: partial 16S ribosomal RNA
Rfam family: Bacterial small subunit ribosomal RNA
Source: RNAcentral
GGGGUUAACCGUACGCCCAACGAAGAUCGGGAGUAACAACCUGGAAACAAGAUGCUAAUACCGGAUAACAACAGAUGAUGCCUAUCAACUGUUUAAAAGAUGGUUCUGCUAUCACUCUUGGAUGGACCUGCGGUGCAUUAGCUAGUUGGUAGGGUAACGGCCUACCAAGGCGAUGAUGCAUAGCCGAGUUGAGAGACUGAUCGGCCACAUUGGGACUGAGACACGGCCCAAACUCCUACGGGAGGCAGCAGCU